GGGGGUAUAGCUCAGUGGUAGAGCGCAUGCUUAGCAUGCAAGAGGCCCUAAGUUCAAUUCCCAGUACCUCCA
Transfer RNA from Camelus ferus (Wild Bactrian camel), 72 nucleotides. It matches the Rfam family "tRNA". Rfam says of the family: Transfer RNA (tRNA) molecules are approximately 80 nucleotides in length. Their secondary structure includes four short double-helical elements and three loops (D, anti-codon, and T loops). The record is from Rfam. Lineage: Eukaryota; Metazoa; Chordata; Mammalia; Artiodactyla; Camelidae.